This 954-nucleotide long non-coding RNA is filed under the name Homo sapiens (human). RNAcentral's name for it is "HSALNT0368631". Lineage: Eukaryota; Metazoa; Chordata; Mammalia; Primates; Hominidae. The record is from RNAcentral.
CUUUUGCUCAGAAGCUUGACAAAAAUGUCCUUAGAUCCUAGAUGAAAAUGAGACCAGAAGAUGGAAGAAUCUGGAUCUCAAAAGGCUGGAGUGCGGUGGCAUGAUCUCGGCUCACUGCAAACUCUGCCUCCCCAGUUCAAAUGAUUCUUCUGCCUUCUGCCUCAGCCUCCCAAAUAGCUGGAACUACAGCAAGGCCAACUUUUCUACCAGAUAACCCUGACCUCAUCCUGUCAGAAUUGAAUGGACCAAGAAUUGAGCUACCCUAAAAGUGCCCACUUUGCUUGUGGGAUUUAGGAGGAAAUGCCACACACUGUCAUAGAAAAAAUGGCGUCUCACUCUAUUGCCCAGGCUAGAGUACAAUAGUGCAAUCUUGGCUCACUGCAACCUCCCCCUCCCAGGUUCAAGCCAUUCUCCUGCCUCAGCCUCCCGAGUAGCUAGAACUACAAGCACGUGCACUGUACCCAGCUAAUUUUUUGUAUUUUUAGCAGAGACGGGGUUUCUCCAUGUUGGCCAGGCUGGUCUCGAACUCCUGACCUCAGGUAAUCCACCGCCUCAUCCUCCCAAAAUGCAUUAUCUCUUCCCAAAAUGCAUUAUCUAUUUCAUUAAGAAAAAGGAGAAAGCAACCAUGCUAAGCUUCAAAUAAAAGCAUGUGAGCACACCUGAUGACGCUAGACCCACUGGAAUCUCGCAUAACUCAUCCUGAACGUGUUGGGAAUCAAGUCUCUCAGGAUUAGCCCUGGUAAUCUGAAAGUCACCAGUCAUCAAGAAGUGGCAUCUCUACCAUGUGGUGCAAUCAUAGCCCUGAACUCAAAUUUCUGUCUGAUAUAUUUGAUGUGAUCCCUCCUUUUAUACCCUUUUAACUUCUGCUUGGAGAGACCCACUGACCUUGUAGCUGACUGUCAGAACUUUUCCUUGCCAGGCCAGCAAUAAAUUUGGCAUUGUUUUGGACAUUGA